AAAUUUAGGUUAGCCCAAACCAAGGACCUUCAAAGCCCUAAAUGUGAGUAACCAACCCUCAUAGUUUCUG
This 70-nucleotide transfer RNA is filed under the name Hemiphyllodactylus titiwangsaensis (Titiwangsa slender gecko). Its description in RNAcentral is "tRNA-Trp". The record is from RNAcentral. Lineage: Eukaryota; Metazoa; Chordata; Lepidosauria; Squamata; Gekkonidae.